RNAcentral lists this long non-coding RNA (456 nucleotides) under Homo sapiens (human). Its description in RNAcentral is "non-protein coding lnc-SH2D7-8:1". The record is from RNAcentral. Lineage: Eukaryota; Metazoa; Chordata; Mammalia; Primates; Hominidae.
GCCACCCUACAAGUGACCAUUGCCCUAGAGGGCCCACUGGCCCCGCUGAAGCUGGUCCGGCACAAGAAGAUCUACGUCUUCCAGGGAGAGGCAGCUGAGAUCAGAAGGGACCAGUUGGAGGUGGAAGAGCAGCUGAUCCACGUACGUGCACGACGGGAGCAAGACACUGACAGACAGUUUUGUCCUGAUGGCUAACCCCUCCGAGAUGGACCACCAGAGCCAUCCUGUGGCCUUCACUGUCACUGUCCUGCCUGUCAAUGACCAACCCCCGGUCCUCACCACAAACACAGGCCUGCAGAUGUGGCAGGGGGCCACUGCGCCCAUCCCUGCGGAGGCUCUGAGGAGCACGGACGGCGACUCUGGGUCUGAGGAUCUGGUCUACACCAUCGAGCAGCCCAGCAACGGACGGGUAGUGCUGCGGGGGGCGCCGGGCACCGAGGUGCGCAGCUUCACGCA